CACUAAGAAGCUAAAUAAGGAACAGCAUUAGCCUUUUAAGCUAAAGAUUGGUGACUACCGACCACCCCUAGUGA
Molecule: transfer RNA, 74 nt
Filed under: Brienomyrus brachyistius
Lineage: Eukaryota; Metazoa; Chordata; Actinopteri; Osteoglossiformes; Mormyridae
Also listed under: 1 other name
Description: tRNA-Lys
Rfam family: tRNA
About the family: Transfer RNA (tRNA) molecules are approximately 80 nucleotides in length. Their secondary structure includes four short double-helical elements and three loops (D, anti-codon, and T loops).
Source: RNAcentral